GAGUCUUGAGAAGGGCUGUCCCUAGUACGAGAGGACCGGGACGGACGAACCUCUGGUGUGCCAGUUGUUCUGCCAAGGGCAUGGCUGGUUGGCUACGUUCGGGAGGGAUAACCGCUGAAAGCAUCUAAGCGGGAAGCCUGCUUCGAGAUGAGGGCUCCCACCCACUUGAUGGGGUAAGGCUCCCAGUAGACGACUGGGUUGAUAGGCCGGAUAUGGAAGCACGGUAACGUGUGGAGUUGACCGGUACUAAUAGGCCGAGGGCUUGUCCUCAGUUG
RNAcentral lists this ribosomal RNA (275 nucleotides) under Streptomyces sp. WAC 01420. RNAcentral's name for it is "partial 23S ribosomal RNA". It matches the Rfam family "Bacterial large subunit ribosomal RNA", at positions 2657 to 2925 of the family's 2925-position model. The record is from RNAcentral. Lineage: Bacteria; Bacillati; Actinomycetota; Actinomycetes; Kitasatosporales; Streptomycetaceae.